AGUAACACCAAGCUUGUGUGCCAUUUCCUUGUCUGUAGCCAUGUCUAUGGGCCCUUGAGUUAGCCACCUGGGUGAGGGCCUGUU
This is a non-coding RNA of Macaca mulatta (Rhesus monkey), 84 nucleotides long. The record is from Rfam. NCBI's taxonomy places the organism in Eukaryota, Metazoa, Chordata, Mammalia, Primates, Cercopithecidae.